GUUAUUAUAAGGGUUUUGAAAACCUUUGGAGGGAAAAAUUUCCCAGCUUUGCGUAAAUCACUUAAAUAA
This 69-nucleotide transfer RNA is filed under the name Dendronotus frondosus (frond-aeolis). RNAcentral describes it as "tRNA-Ser". Lineage: Eukaryota; Metazoa; Mollusca; Gastropoda; Nudibranchia; Dendronotidae. The record is from RNAcentral.